This 502-nucleotide ribosomal RNA is filed under the name uncultured bacterium. RNAcentral describes it as "partial 16S ribosomal RNA". It matches the Rfam family "Bacterial small subunit ribosomal RNA", at positions 29 to 507 of the family's 1533-position model. The record is from RNAcentral.
AGCGAACGCUGGCGGCGUGCCUAACACAUGCAAGUCGAACGUGAAAGGGAGCAAUCCCAAGUAAAGUGGCGUACGGGUGAGUAACACGUAGGUAAUCUACCCCAGAAUCUGGAAUAACCGGCCGAAAGGCUGGCUAAUACUGGAUAGAGCGACGGAAUCCGUAAUUGGGUUUUUCGGGAAAGGGAGCCUGUAAAAAGGCCUUCGUUCUGGGAUGAGCCUGCGUCCCAUCAGCUAGUUGGUGAGGUAAAAGCUUACCAAGGCAAUGACGGGUAGCUGGUCUGAGAGGACGAUCAGCCACACUGGAACUGAAACACGGCCCAGACUCCUACGGGAGGCAGCAGUGGGGAAUCUUGCGCAAGGGACGAAAGUCUGACGCAGCAACGCCGCGUGAGUGAAGAAGGCCUUCGGGUCGUAAAGCUCUGUCGAGUGGGACGAAAAUGCUUGGAGUUCACAGCUCCAGGAACUGACGGUACCACUAAAGGAAGCACCGGCUAACUCCGUG